This 427-nucleotide ribosomal RNA is filed under the name uncultured bacterium. Its description in RNAcentral is "bacterial SSU rRNA". It matches the Rfam family "Bacterial small subunit ribosomal RNA", at positions 355 to 774 of the family's 1533-position model. The record is from RNAcentral.
UGGGGAAUUUUGGACAAUGGGCGCAAGCCUGAUCCAGCAAUGCCGCGUGUGUGAAGAAGGCCUUCGGGUUGUAAAGCACUUUUGUCCGGAAAGAAAUCCGUCUGGCUAAUACCCGGACGGGAUGACGGUACCGGAAGAAUAAGCACCGGCUAACUACGUGCCAGCAGCCGCGGUAAUACGUAGGGUGCGAGCGUUAAUCGGAAUUACUGGGCGUAAAGCGUGCGCAGGCGGCUUUGUAAGACAGAUGUGAAAUCCCCGGGCUCAACCUGGGAACUGCAUUUGUGACUGCAAGGCUAGAGUGCGUCAGAGGGAGGUGGAAUUCCGCGUGUAGCAGUGAAAUGCGUAGAGAUGCGGAGGAACACCGAUGGCGGAGGCAGCCUCCUGGGAUGACACUGACGCUCAUGCACGAAAGCGUGGGGAGCAAACA